RNAcentral lists this long non-coding RNA (430 nucleotides) under Homo sapiens (human). Its description in RNAcentral is "non-protein coding lnc-OLFML1-2:2". Lineage: Eukaryota; Metazoa; Chordata; Mammalia; Primates; Hominidae. The record is from RNAcentral.
CAGAUGGCACCUUCGGAAGGUACCGUGACGCAGAUAGGGCUCCUCUCCCAAGACAUUCACCGCCUUACGACAAUGCUGAGCCAGGACCAGCUGCUGAAUGACUCUCGCCUGCCUGCCCCCAACUCUGAUGACUGGAGAUGACUUUCUUCGUGGCUGAGAGCGUAGGGAGGCAUGUGUGGGGGCCCCGGAGCCUUUGCUUCUGUGGGGAGCGGGCACACAGCCCCCUCUGCAAGCCCAGUCCGGGCUGGCAGGGUGUCUCAGACAGGCUGCUGACAGGCAUGAAGCAGAGCUGUGGGACAGGUGUCCAGGGGUGGCCCCAGGGUCCAUGUGUGUCUUCAACCAUGCUGCGCUCUUCACCGCAGGCUUCAUACCUUUUGUACUUUUAUACGUGGACUGCAGACCACUUUGUGGGAGGGCAGUGACAUAUCAG